This is a long non-coding RNA of Vitis riparia (riverbank grape), 963 nucleotides long. RefSeq lists it as uncharacterized. The record is from RefSeq and is a predicted model, not a curated record. The transcript has 3 exons. NCBI's taxonomy places the organism in Eukaryota, Viridiplantae, Streptophyta, Magnoliopsida, Vitales, Vitaceae.
CGCUGUCGAGCCUUAAAGAAAGGUCCAACAGUUGCCCAAAACCAAUUGGGGGUACAAAAUCCAAAACAGCGCAUAAUCUGACCCCGGAAAAGAGUCGGCGUCCCGAAUUAGAACCACAGCUUGAAUCGAGGAAAGUCACUACAUCUUCCUCAACCUGGCGAAAUUGUUUGGUAUUAUAGGUAGGCAACAGGAGGUUUAGUCUUUUGUAAUAGUAUCAUUUAUGGAUGAUUUGUGUCAUCACUAUUCGAUGCCCAACUUCAAAAGAAAGCUCAACAAAGGGAGCAAAUGUCAUUUUCAAUGGAGAUUUGAAGGCAGAAAGGGGAAGACUUCAAGCUCAUUUUCAAGUAUCAGCAUCAACUAAAUGAAGAGUAGCUGGAAAUGGUGGCAAGGUCUCUUGAUGAGUGGGAUAUAACCAGAAAGUUGGUCGGUUAUUUCUCAACUCCAGGGCUGCCCCAUCUCAUGGGGAUGUGACUUGCCUGCCAAUUUGGUUUACGCCAAUGUUCCAAGGGUCCCGUAUUAUGAAUACUGAAUAUAAAAGGACCUUGUUCUAGCUACAGUUCAAUAAAGAAAUAUGCCGAGGAAUUUUUGUGGAAAGGGGUAUGUGCUUCCCAUUCUCAUCUGUUCUUUGAAUUUAGAAGUUCAAGAAAUGCAGCCUGCUAGUGUGAAAAGGAGUCUAUAGAAAUCUUAACCUUGACUUCAAGCUAAACACCAAUAGCUAGAGUUCACAUGCGGAAAAGUGUUCAAUGAAUUUGCAAAUACAGAACCCGAAAAAUUUAAAACAUGACCCUACACCAGGGAGUCUGCAGUGCCUGAUGGUCUGUUCUCUACAAUCCUAUGAACAAUAGGUUCAACAAUAGAUUUAAAUUCCCUUUUGUAUACUACCCGUUGACUCUUUAUACAUUAGCAUAACAUUUUUCUGCUUGCACAAUUGCUGUAGUCAAUUAUAAAGUUCCUGUUCCUUUA